This is a non-coding RNA of Macaca mulatta (Rhesus monkey), 1366 nucleotides long. NCBI's taxonomy places the organism in Eukaryota, Metazoa, Chordata, Mammalia, Primates, Cercopithecidae. The record is from RefSeq and is a predicted model, not a curated record.
GGCGGCGCCGGGGGUGCCAGCCGCCUCCUCUGGCCGCCGGCCCGUCGGCCCUGCAAAGUUUAAAGCCAAUUCCCUUUGCGUCCUGGGAGCCGAGCGUUUUCUCUCUCUGCUGACACUCCCAGCAGCCCUGCCUGGCCAGGCCAGGCUGGAGAGCACCCGGACCAUUUUCCAGACGGUGAGAUGGAGGCCUGGAAACCGAGCUUAUGAGCAGCCCGGAGCUUUCCAUUGCCUGCUCAGCCUUCCAGAUACAUCCCAGUUCCAGUUCUCUCCAGGCCCCUCUGGGAUCCAGCCAGCCUGCUUCCCCGCCAGGGCCCCGCUGCUUCCAAAAUGGGCCUGUGCAGCGUCAUUCAGGAAGCCCGUGGUACUCACAUCACUUUGGCCAGAUGCUAACAAGAAAAUGAUCCACUGUGACGCAGCUGACCCCAUCCAGUGCAUCCACAUUACCUGGAAAGAAGCAAUUAUGCCCCUUUGGUUUCCUUGGAAAUGCUCGGUCUGUCUGUACCAUCCUCCCUGGCUCUUGAGAAAUACCCAUGCACAGUGGAGCUUUGACAGGGAAGCAGUGCGUUUACUUUCAAACUGAAAGUUUACAGAAUACAAAGUGAGCCUAUAAGAUGGAUGGCCAUUCUCCAGAGGCUUGUUGGCCAGACAGGAAGGAAAACCAGUGCACCAUCAGGAAUGUGGAGGAGACUGAAAGAGAGGGACAAACAUAUUGGAUUGCAUCGGGCCCCCACAGUCAAGUUCCUGCAAACCCAGCUGGGAUAUUUUCCUAAGGGUUAUGGUCUUGGGCCUCAAAGCUCCCCAGUCAAAGCCCAGCCUCUGUGCCAGGGAGGACACAAGAGGACAGAGACAGCCUCUGUGUCAGGAGGAGGGAAGAAGGACUAAUGUCUGCGGACCCUCCGAGGCUCACAGGGAGAAGCCACACACUCACAGCACCAGGUAUAUUAUCUCUGUUCUCCCACUUGACUUUAAGCUCAAUGAAUGCCAGGACCCUUAAAACAAAGCACAUAGCAAGUUUUCAGUGAAGUCUUGUUAAUUUUCAAAUGGAGGAAUAAAUGAACGACUAUAUUUCCACUUCGCAGAUGAGUAAACAGAGGCUUGGAGGGGUGAUGAAAUUUGCCAACAGUCACCGAUCAUUCCAGGAACAGGUGAUGCUUCCUGGCAGUGAGAUUCUAAACCAGCGGGAGUUCCCAGCCAGAGACAUGAUCUAAGUGCCAAUGGCUGAAUGUCUGUGAGCAUUUGAAGUCAUUGUAAGAACAGGCAACGUUAGCGGCACCAUUAAAGCCUGCUGUUCCUCCAGCCCAUCACUGCCAUCCCCACCUAUUAAAAUAAUGGUAUGAAAAAUAAACAGCCUUUAUGGACAAUUUUA